Molecule: ribosomal RNA, 447 nt
Filed under: uncultured bacterium
Lineage: Bacteria
Description: partial 16S ribosomal RNA
Rfam family: Bacterial small subunit ribosomal RNA
Source: RNAcentral
AGCGAACGCUGGCGGCAGGCUUAACACAUGCAAGUCGAACGCCCCGCAAGGGGAGUGGCAGACGGGUGAGUAACACGUGGGAACGUACCCUUUGGCUCGGAAUAACUUGGGGAAACUCAAGCUAAUACCGGAUAAGCCCUUAUGGGGAAAGGUUUACUGCCGAAGGAUCGGCCCGCGUCGGAUUAGCUAGUUUGUGAGGUAAUGGCUCACCAAGGCGACGAUCAGUAGCUGGUCUGAGAGGAUGAUAAGCCACACUGGGACUGAGACACGGCCAAGACUCCUACGGGAGGCAGCAGUGGGGAAUAUUGGACAAUGGGGGCAACCCUGAUCCAGCCAUGCCGCGUGAGUGAUGAAGGCCUUAGGGUUGUAAAGCUCUUUUACCCGGGACGAUAAUGACUGUACCCGGAGAAGAAGCCCCGGCUAACUUCGUGCCAGCAGCCGCGGUAA